UACACACACACACACACACACACACACACACACACACACACUCGCGCGCACGCACGCACGCAGCAGCACUCGCACACCCCGGGGAGAACGCAGCGCGCCAGAACGAAGUCAGGUCGCCCUCCUGGGAAACCAAAGCAUCGGCUCUCUGGACGAGCGCGGAGAUAGUCUGUCCUUAUCAGCGUGGAGAGGACACCUCAGCUGGGGACAGAUUAGAGACGCAUCUUGCUCGAGAGAUGCUUCGUUUUCGUUUUCGUAUAGAGCGCGCGGGGGGCGGGGGCGCAGAAGGGGUAGCUUCUUCCUAGCGCCUUUGGUAAACAUACACACUCGGACAUACACACGCCAACGCGCAUACACACGCCCUCCCAAGUAGAGUGAAUCCGGGCAGGGAGGGGGAAGAAGGAGGAGGACGUUUUGUAUUCAGUGCACAGCUCAAUCUGGAAAGUACAAAUACACACAUGAACCAAUUAGUCGAUCGCCCACUCAGGGUGGGUGGUAGAUGACCACCCCGAUUUAGGAUCUAGCAGGAAACAAGUGAUGACAGAGGUGUCAGGCGCUUUGUGGAUAUUUAUGUGACUCUUUUUCAUUGCCAUUUGGAAACUCCUCACGCAGGAGUCAAGGAAACUCCAAUCCUCCUUAAACUUCACUGCGGAGAAACAGAAUUCUGAGAAAAAACAGCCACCAAGGACAUCCUUUUUAAAUACAAGUACAAGACACAGGAGAAAGAAAGAAAAAAAGGAUUUUCCAGAAGUGUUCCUCAAAGGAAAAAAAAAAAAGCGCAUAGUUAGUGAGUGUCUUGAUGAAAAGUUUCUUCAUAAAAACUACAACAGAGGACUUCAGGUUUCAACUAAGAUGGCACCAUGGGGAGAUCCAGAAUGCCCUUCUACAGACACAUGGGUGGAUGAGAAAACACAAACAUCAAAAACAGUAAUAUUGAAUUCUCAAGAACUACAAGUUAGGAUCCUGACGGAUUAUACUGCUGUGGAUCAUUAUUUCAAGUUUCACCAACAUUUUCCUGUUUUAAAAACACUGGAUUCAUUUUGAAAAUAAGAUUUUUUAAUAAAAA
RNAcentral lists this long non-coding RNA (1063 nucleotides) under Ursus maritimus (polar bear). RNAcentral describes it as "lncRNA (ENSUMAG00000008513.1)". The record is from RNAcentral. Lineage: Eukaryota; Metazoa; Chordata; Mammalia; Carnivora; Ursidae.